This 108-nucleotide ribosomal RNA is filed under the name Lepisosteus oculatus (spotted gar). The record is from RNAcentral. Lineage: Eukaryota; Metazoa; Chordata; Actinopteri; Semionotiformes; Lepisosteidae.
UUAAGCAGCCAUAUCACCCUGCAACUCUCAUCUGAAGCUAAGCAGGUGUGAGCCUGAUGAGUAGCUGGAUGGGAGACCUCCUGGGAAAAGCUAAGGUUGCUGCUGGAA